GACGAACGCUGGCGGCGUGCUUAACACAUGCAAGUCGAACGGAAAGGCCCUGCUUGCCGGGUGCUCGAGUGGCGAACGGGUGAGUAACACGUGGGUGAUCUGCCCCUUACUUUGGGAUAAGCCUGGGAAACUGGGUCUAAUACUGGAUAGGACCAUGCUGUAGGUGGUGUGGUGGAAAGAUUAGUUUCGGUAAGGGAUGAGCUCGCGGCCUAUCAGCUUGUUGGUGGGGUAAUGGCCUACCAAGGCGUCGACGGGUAGCCGGCCUGAGAGGGUGGACGGCCACAUUGGGACUGAGAUACGGCCCAGACUCCUACGGGAGGCAGCAGUGGGGAAUAGUGCACAAUGGGCGCAAGCCUGAUGCAGCGACGCCGCGUGGGGGAUGACGGCCUUCGGGUUGUAAACUCCUUUCGGCCAUGACGAAGCCCUUGUGGUGACGGUAGUGGUAGAAGAAGCACCGGCUAACUACGUG
This 469-nucleotide ribosomal RNA is filed under the name uncultured bacterium. RNAcentral's name for it is "partial 16S ribosomal RNA". It matches the Rfam family "Bacterial small subunit ribosomal RNA", at positions 28 to 507 of the family's 1533-position model. The record is from RNAcentral.